This 1082-nucleotide long non-coding RNA is filed under the name Papio anubis (olive baboon). RNAcentral describes it as "lncRNA (ENSPANG00000038145.1)". The record is from RNAcentral. Lineage: Eukaryota; Metazoa; Chordata; Mammalia; Primates; Cercopithecidae.
CUGCUGUAAAGACAUACCUGAGAGCAGCAAUAUAUAAAGUAAAGAGGUUUAAUUGUCUCACAGUUCCACAGGCUGGAAGAGAAGCAUGAAGACUUCCGCUUGACUUCUGGGGAAGCCUCAGGAAACUUCAGUCAUGGUAGAAGGCAAAGGAGGAACCAGGCACUUCACAGGGUCAGAGUAGGAGGAAGAAGGAGAGGGACGAGAUGCCACCCACUUUAAAACAACUAGAUCUCAGAACUCACUAUGGAUAUGACAGCACCAAGGGGGAAGUCUGCCCCCAUGAUCAAAUCGCCUCCCACCAGGCCCCAUGAAAUUUGGGUGGGGACACAGAUCCAAAUCAUAGCAUGCCCACGGACAGACCGCCUGGAACCACGCAAUUAAGAGAGACUAGUGAUUUGGGGCUUAAACGUCCUCCAAUCAAGACUCGAUUUCUCACUCCCUUGACUCCUUUUCCCAUGCCUUGCAAUUUUUGCAUUUAUGAUCUCCUACUCCCUGACUCCUCCUUGAAGCACACUUUCAUUUUGCACCUAAACACUAUGUCUCCCCAGUCUGCAGAUUGCUUUUAGAAAAUAAAGUUCUCCUUUUGCCUCCGCAAAGCUCAUUGGUUUUUUGUGAACAGAACAUAGUAAAGGCUCAUUAUACGCUUUUCCUCUUCCAUGCCUCAACCUUUAUAAAUGCACAGAAGGUUAUAUAUGUUGUCAGCAUACAUUAGCAACAAUACAUGACAUUUAUGGAAAGUAAGAGUACCUCAGGAUCAAAUACACCACAUAUUUUAAAUUAUCACAUCUCAUUUUUCUUCACUCUGCUACUGCAAGCAUGUUAACAAAUUAUUCAGUAAUAGGUACUAAGAGUUCAUGGUCUACAACGUUCCUUCAAGAAAACUACUUGCUAUGAAAGCAGAAAAUGAGAAGCACAAACUAAAAAAGAAAAAAAAAAAAAUCUUGAUUAGAUGUUCAAAUAUCAGAGAAUUUAAAUAGAAGAGAUUUUUUUUUUCUUAUCUGAGUGCCAGAACUACUCAAUUCCACAGAAUUCUGCUUAAUAAUCAUUCAAAUGAUUGUUAAUCCAAACAGGGAUGAUCCAGG